RNAcentral lists this ribosomal RNA (468 nucleotides) under uncultured bacterium. RNAcentral describes it as "partial 16S ribosomal RNA". It matches the Rfam family "Bacterial small subunit ribosomal RNA", at positions 28 to 507 of the family's 1533-position model. The record is from RNAcentral.
GACGAACGCUGGCGGCGUGCUUAACACAUGCAAGUCGAACGGAAAGGCCCUGCUUUUGUGGGGUGCUCGAGUGGCGAACGGGUGAGUAACACGUGAGUAACCUGCCCUUGACUUUGGGAUAACUUCAGGAAACUGGGGCUAAUACCGGAUAGGAGCUCCUGCUGCAUGGUGGGGGUUGGAAAGUUUCGGCGGUUGGGGAUGGACUCGCGGCUUAUCAGCUUGUUGGUGGGGUAGUGGCUUACCAAGGCUUUGACGGGUAGCCGGCCUGAGAGGGUGACCGGCCCCCUUGGGACUGGGAUACGGCCCAGACUCCUACGGGAGGCAGCAGUGGGGAAUAUUGCACAAUGGGCGGAAGCCUGAUGCAGCAACGCAGCGUGCGGGAUGACGGCCUUCGGGUUGUAAACCGCUUUCGCCUGUGACGAAGCGUGAGUGACGGUAAUGGGUAAAGAAGCAACGGCUAACUACGUG